UCUGUCAAGUCGGAUGUGAAAUCCCCGGGCUCAACCUGGGAACUGCAUUCGAAACUGGCAGGCUAGAGUCUUGUAGAGGGGGGUAGAAUUCCAGGUGUAGCGGUGAAAUGCGUAGAGAUCUGGAGGAAUACCGGUGGCGAAGGCGGCCCCCUGGACAAAGACUGACGCUCAGGUGCGAAAGCGUGGGGAGCAAACAGGAUUAGAUACCCUGGUAGUCCACGCCGUAAACGAUGUCGAUUUGGAGGUUGUGCCCUUGAGGCGUGGCUUCCGGAGCUAACGCGUUAAAUCGACCGCCUGGGGAGUACGGCCGCAAGGUUAAAACUCAAAUGAAUUGACGGGGGCCCGCACAAGCGGUGGAGCAUGUGGUUUAAUUCGAUGCAACGCGAAGAACCUUACCUG
Molecule: ribosomal RNA, 399 nt
Filed under: Klebsiella pneumoniae
Lineage: Bacteria; Pseudomonadati; Pseudomonadota; Gammaproteobacteria; Enterobacterales; Enterobacteriaceae
Description: bacterial SSU rRNA
Rfam family: Bacterial small subunit ribosomal RNA
Source: RNAcentral